GGUGACGUAGCUCAGUCGGUAGAGCAAGGAGCUCAUAAUUCCUGGGUCCCCAGUUCAAGUCUGGGCGUCACCA
This 73-nucleotide transfer RNA is filed under the name Anaerolineae bacterium. It matches the Rfam family "tRNA". Rfam says of the family: Transfer RNA (tRNA) molecules are approximately 80 nucleotides in length. Their secondary structure includes four short double-helical elements and three loops (D, anti-codon, and T loops). Lineage: Bacteria; Bacillati; Chloroflexota; Anaerolineae. RNAcentral also lists the same sequence under 1 other name. The record is from Rfam by way of RNAcentral.